AGUACGAAAGGACCAAAAAGACGACACCUCUACCCCCCGCACGUGCCGCCCGAAACACUGAAGACACUCAAGCUAACUUACCCAUCACCCCGCCCAAGACAAGGGCAUU
RNAcentral lists this ribosomal RNA (109 nucleotides) under Phyllodactylus saxatilis. Its description in RNAcentral is "partial 16S ribosomal RNA". The record is from RNAcentral. Lineage: Eukaryota; Metazoa; Chordata; Lepidosauria; Squamata; Phyllodactylidae.